Molecule: long non-coding RNA, 305 nt
Filed under: Homo sapiens (human)
Lineage: Eukaryota; Metazoa; Chordata; Mammalia; Primates; Hominidae
Description: HSALNT0005579
Source: RNAcentral
GAGGCUCUCCACACAGGUUCCUACUGAGAGGUCAGGCAGCAGCACCUACGUGUUUGCGAAACAGGUCAGCGUGGGGUCCAAGCUGAGGAUCAGCUUCCCGGACAAACUGCAUCACAUCCUCGACUGUCCAUGAGGAGGGGUCCCGGCCACUCAGUCGAGAGGCAUCGCGGCUCUCCAGGAUCGAUGAGCAGAAGAGUGGCAGAAUGGCACAGCAGAGAAGGAGGGAAGAGAAGGAGCAUCUGAACACUGAGAGGAGUUUGGCUGGGGAUGGUCAGAGAGGAGAUCAGCUGCUGGUCAGCCAAACU